RNAcentral lists this ribosomal RNA (253 nucleotides) under uncultured bacterium. RNAcentral's name for it is "partial 16S ribosomal RNA". It matches the Rfam family "Bacterial small subunit ribosomal RNA", at positions 524 to 776 of the family's 1533-position model. The record is from RNAcentral.
UACGGGGGGGGUAAGCGUUGUUCGGAAUUACUGGGCGUAAAGGGCUCGUAGGCGGCCAACUAAGUCAGACGUGAAAUCCCUCAGCUUAACUGGGGAACUGCGUCUGAUACUGGAUGGCUUGGAUUCGGGAGAGGAAUGCGGAAUUCCAGGUGUAGCGGUGAAAUGCGUAGAGAUGUGGAGGAACACCGAUGGCGAAGGCAGCCUCCUGGGCCAGCACUGACGCUCAUGCACGAAAGCGUGGGGAGCAAACAGG